CAUUAAAGAUUUAGGCUUUAGUGCCCUAUUCUCACCCUUUGUCUAUGUAUACUUUUGUUGCCUUGGCAGGCUUCCAACAGCCUGCCAGUGGAAACCAAACCCUAGAAUGUUCUGCUGUCUGAGUACUAUAAAAAAUAGUUAAAACUUUCAACAACGGAUCUCUUGGUUCUGGCAUCGAUGAAGAACGCAGCGAAAUGCGAUAAGUAAUGUGAAUUGCAGAAUUCAGUGAAUCAUCGAAUCUUUGAACGCACAUUGCGCCCUCUGGUAUUCCAGGGGGCAUGCCUGUUCGAGCGUCAUUACACAACCCUCACGCUCAGCGUGGUCUUGGGCUCGCCCUGUAGGGCCUGCCUCAAAGUCAGUGGCGGCGCUAUCUGACCCCUAAGCGUAGUAAUAUACACCUCGCUUUUGGGCGCUGGAUGGAGGCCUGCCAAUGAACCCCCCCCCACUUCUUACAGGUUGACCUCGGAUCAGGUAGGGAUA
RNAcentral lists this ribosomal RNA (480 nucleotides) under uncultured Ascomycota. Its description in RNAcentral is "eukaryotic LSU rRNA". The stretch from base 143 to 296 matches the Rfam family "5.8S ribosomal RNA". The record is from RNAcentral. Lineage: Eukaryota; Fungi; Ascomycota.